This 600-nucleotide ribosomal RNA is filed under the name Nocardia fluminea. RNAcentral's name for it is "bacterial SSU rRNA". It matches the Rfam family "Bacterial small subunit ribosomal RNA", at positions 103 to 717 of the family's 1533-position model. The record is from RNAcentral. Lineage: Bacteria; Bacillati; Actinomycetota; Actinomycetes; Mycobacteriales; Nocardiaceae.
CGGGUGAGUAACACGUGGGUGAUCUGCCUUGCACUUCGGGAUAAGCCUGGGAAACUGGGUCUAAUACCGGAUAUGACCUUGGAAUGCAUGUUCUGGGGUGGAAAGAUUUAUCGGUGCGAGAUGGGCCCGCGGCCUAUCAGCUUGUUGGUGGGGUAACGGCUCACCAAGGCGACGACGGGUAGCCGACCUGAGAGGGUGACCGGCCACACUGGGACUGAGACACGGCCCAGACUCCUACGGGAGGCAGCAGUGGGGAAUAUUGCACAAUGGGCGAAAGCCUGAUGCAGCGACGCCGCGUGCGGGAUGACGGCCUUCGGGUUGUAAACCGCUUUUGACAGGGACGAAGCGCAAGUGACUGUACCUGUAGAAUAAGGACCGGCCAACUACGUGCCAGCAGCCGCGGUAAUACGUAGGGUCCGAGCGUUGUCCGGAAUUACUGGGCGUAAAGAGCUUGUAGGCGGUUCGUCGCGUCGUGUGUGAAAACUUGGGGCUCAACCUUAAGCUUGCAGGCGAUACGGGCGGACUAGAGUACUUCAGGGGAGACUGGAAUUCCUGGUGUAGCGGUGAAAUGCGCAGAUAUCAGGAGGAACACCGGUGGCG